This 323-nucleotide unclassified non-coding RNA is filed under the name Hevea brasiliensis (rubber tree). Lineage: Eukaryota; Viridiplantae; Streptophyta; Magnoliopsida; Malpighiales; Euphorbiaceae. The record is from RNAcentral.
CUUUUCUCUCCUACCCAUUUAAUCGGACCAAUUAACCACCAAUUUUUUAAAAUGAAACUAUCUAUUGAACAGUUUGAAAUAAACCAGUUCAGUUAACCUCUUUUUCGCUUCGGUUUUAGGGUUUUCAGUUAGAAGAAUAAUUUUUCGGUUUGUCUUGCUCACUCCUCCUACCUACCCUAGAGACAGAGUAGCAUUCAUUAAGCUCAAAACAACCUCAAGACAUCAAUAAACACUAGUAGCCUACAUAGUGCAGUUGUUAACUCGAGUAUCAUUGUUCUGCCAAGAUACAUCAACACGAAACACCACCCCCACCAAAAAAAAAA